AUUGAACGCUGGCGGCAUGCCUUACACAUGCAAGUCGAACGGCAGCGCGGGAGCAAUCCUGGCGGCGAGUGGCGAACGGGUGAGUAAUACAUCGGAACGUGCCCAAUCGUGGGGGAUAACGCAGCGAAAGCUGUGCUAAUACCGCAUACGAUCUACGGAUGAAAGCAGGGGAUCGCAAGACCUUGCGCGAAUGGAGCGGCCGAUGGCAGAUUAGGUAGUUGGUGAGGUAAAGGCUCACCAAGCCUUCGAUCUGUAGCUGGUCUGAGAGGACGACCAGCCACACUGGGACUGAGACACGGCCCAGACUCCUACGGGAGGCAGCAGUGGGGAAUUUUGGACAAUGGGCGAAAGCCUGAUCCAGCCAUGCCGCGUGCAGGAUGAAGGCUUUCGGGUUGUAAACUGCUUUUGUACGGAACGAAACGGUCUUUUCUAAUAAAGAAGGCUAAUGACGGUACCGUAAGAAUAAGCACCGGCUAACUACGUG
Molecule: ribosomal RNA, 484 nt
Filed under: uncultured bacterium
Lineage: Bacteria
Description: partial 16S ribosomal RNA
Rfam family: Bacterial small subunit ribosomal RNA
Source: RNAcentral